GGGCCGGUAGCUUAGCUGGUAGAGCGUCGCGUUUGCAUCGCGAAGGUCGAGAGUUCGAAUCUCUU
Molecule: transfer RNA, 65 nt
Filed under: Candidatus Levybacteria bacterium CG22_combo_CG10-13_8_21_14_all_35_11
Lineage: Bacteria; Candidatus Levyibacteriota
Description: tRNA-Ala
Rfam family: tRNA
About the family: Transfer RNA (tRNA) molecules are approximately 80 nucleotides in length. Their secondary structure includes four short double-helical elements and three loops (D, anti-codon, and T loops).
Source: RNAcentral